RNAcentral lists this ribosomal RNA (198 nucleotides) under uncultured bacterium. RNAcentral's name for it is "partial 16S ribosomal RNA". It matches the Rfam family "Bacterial small subunit ribosomal RNA", at positions 328 to 539 of the family's 1533-position model. The record is from RNAcentral.
ACGCUCGACACCUACGGGAGGCAGCAGUGGGGAAUAUUGCACAAUGGGGGAAACCCUGAUGCAGCGACGCCGCGUGAGCGAAGAAGUAUUUCGGUAUGUAAAGCUCUAUCAGCAGGGAAGAUCAUGACGGUACCUGACUAAGAAGCUCCGGCUAAAUACGUGCCAGCAGCCGCGGUAAUCUGAGCGGGCUGGCAAGGC